RNAcentral lists this ribosomal RNA (564 nucleotides) under Fusarium oxysporum f. sp. cepae. Its description in RNAcentral is "SSU rRNA". It matches the Rfam family "Bacterial small subunit ribosomal RNA", at positions 365 to 894 of the family's 1533-position model. The record is from RNAcentral. Lineage: Eukaryota; Fungi; Ascomycota; Sordariomycetes; Hypocreales; Nectriaceae.
UUUAGGAGGGGCGAAGCUCCUCUUAUUGUGAGGGCGAGUUAUAUAACACCAUAGGACUGGCCGUCCCAUAUGAAAAGAUUAUAUUAGAAUUGAAUGAAGCUUUGUUUAUAUAUUGAUAAUGACAGUAUAUAUAUCGUGUCUUGACUAAUUGCGUGCCAGCAGUCGCGGUAAUACGUAAGAGACUAGUGUUAUUCAUCUUAAUUAGGUUUAAAGGGUACCCAGACGGUCAAUAUAGCUUAUAAAAUGUUAGUACUUGACUAGAGUUUUAUGUAAGAGGGCAGUACUUGAGGAGGAGAGAUGAAAUUUCGUGAUACCAAAGGGACUCUGUAAAGGCGAAGGCAGCCCUCUAUGUAAAAACUGACGUUGAAGGACGAAGGCACAGAGAACAAACAGGAUUAGAUACCCAAGUAGUCUUUGCAGUAAAUGAUGAAUGCCAUAGGUUAGAAUGGGUGGGCUCGUCUAGUUGAGUUAGUUUAGCAAACUAAUGAUCUAGACGAGCCCACCGUAUAUUUGGUCUAUAAAUGAAAGUGUAAGCAUUUCACCUCAAGAGUAAUGUGGCAACGC